AUUGAACGCUGGCGGCAUGCCUUACACAUGCAAGUCGAACGGCAGCACGGGUGCUUGCCCCUGGUGGCGAGUGGCGAACGGGUGAGUAAUACAUCGGAACAUGUCCUGUAGUGGGGAAUAGCCCGGCGAAAGCCGGAUUAAUACCGCAUACGAUCUACGGAUGAAAGCGGGGGACCUUCGGGCCUCGCGCUAUAGGGGUGGCCGAUGGCUGAUUAGCUAGUUGGUGGGGUAAAGGCCUACCAAGGCGACGGUCAGUAGCUGGUCUGAGAGUACGACGAGCCACACUGGGACUGAGACACGGCCCAGACUCCUACGGGAGGCAGCAGUGGGGAAUUUUGGACAAUGGGCGAAAGCCUGAUCCAGCAAUGCCGCGUGUGUGAAGAAGGCCUUCGGGUUGUAAAGCACUUUUGUCCGGAAAGAAAUCCUUGGCCCUAAUACGGUCGGGGGAUGACGGUACCGGAAGAAUAAGCACCGGCUAACUACGUG
Molecule: ribosomal RNA, 486 nt
Filed under: uncultured bacterium
Lineage: Bacteria
Description: partial 16S ribosomal RNA
Rfam family: Bacterial small subunit ribosomal RNA
Source: RNAcentral